Long non-coding RNA from Xiphophorus hellerii (green swordtail), 279 nucleotides. RefSeq lists it as uncharacterized. The transcript is spliced from 2 exons. The record is from RefSeq and is a predicted model, not a curated record. NCBI's taxonomy places the organism in Eukaryota, Metazoa, Chordata, Actinopteri, Cyprinodontiformes, Poeciliidae.
GAAUAUUUAUCCCAAAACAGGCGGCGCUUAGAAAUGGGCGGAGCUCCCCAAACGGGGCGGGGCUUCAGCAGAAAUUCCCACCGAUUAAAAACAUGGAAUGAUUUGAACCUGGAGUAACAUCCGAGCGGUUCUGGUCCAGCUCGGCUCACAGAGCUCAAGACCAGCUUCACUGAUCCCAGUGGAAUGUUCCAGUAAUUAAAUAAACCCUGACCCUUGACCCCAUCAGGUCACUCAGAGUCCAAACUGAACGGUUACACCUCCACCAGAACCAAACGGGUU